RNAcentral lists this ribosomal RNA (587 nucleotides) under Lodderomyces orthopsilosis. RNAcentral's name for it is "Candida orthopsilosis partial large subunit ribosomal RNA". It matches the Rfam family "Eukaryotic large subunit ribosomal RNA", at positions 51 to 653 of the family's 3401-position model. The record is from RNAcentral. Lineage: Eukaryota; Fungi; Ascomycota; Pichiomycetes; Serinales; Debaryomycetaceae.
CGGAGGAAAAGAAACCAACAGUGAUUGCCUUAGUAGCGGCGAGUGAAGCGGCAAAAGCUCAAAUUUGAAAUCUGGCACUUUCAGUGUCCGAGUUUGUAAUUUGAAGAAGGUAUCUUUGGGUCUGGCUCUUGUCUAUGUUUCUUGGAACAGAACGUCACAGAGGGUGAGAAUCCCGUGCGAUGAGAUGUCCCAGACCUAUGUAAAGUUCCUUCGAAGAGUCGAGUUGUUUGGGAAUGCAGCUCUAAGUGGGUGGUAAAUUCCAUCUAAAGCUAAAUAUUGGCGAGAGACCGAUAGCGAACAAGUACAGUGAUGGAAAGAUGAAAAGAACUUUGAAAAGAGAGUGAAAAAGUACGUGAAAUUGUUGAAAGGGAAGGGCUUGAGAUCAGACUUGGUAUUUUGUAUGUUACUCUCUCGGGGGUGGCCUCUACAGUUUACCGGGCCAGCAUCAGUUUGGGCGGUAGGACAAUUGCAAAGAAAUGUGGCACUGCCUCGGUAGUGUGUUAUAGUCUUUGUCGAUACUGCCAGCCUAGACUGAGGACUGCGGCUUCGGCCUAGGAUGUUGGCAUAAUGAUCUUAAGUCGCCCGUC